UUCCAGCAGCCGCGGUAAUACGGAGGGUGCAAGCGUUAAUCGGAAUUACUGGGCGUAAAGCGCGCGUAGGCGGUUGUCUAAGCUAGAUGUGAAAGCCCUGGGCUUAACCUGGGAACUGCACCUGAUACUGCCAGUCUAGAAUACGGUAGAGGGUAGUGGAAUUUCCUGUGUAGCGGUGAAAUGCGUAGAUAUAGGAAGGAACACCAGUGGCGAAGGCGACUACCUGGACCGAUAUUGACACUGAGGUGCGAAGGCGUGGGGAGCAAACAGGAUUAGAUA
This 279-nucleotide ribosomal RNA is filed under the name uncultured bacterium. RNAcentral describes it as "partial 16S ribosomal RNA". It matches the Rfam family "Bacterial small subunit ribosomal RNA", at positions 506 to 784 of the family's 1533-position model. The record is from RNAcentral.